GAAUCAUCACAUAACAAUUGCGAAAUUUAAAGUAGAGAAUUUAUCCUUAGCUCAAAUAAGAUAUUUGAAACUUAUAUAAACUUUUCACGCAAACUUUCAUGUAAAUUGUUUAUGGUUUAGAUUAUGUAGUUAAUGGAUUAAAAUAUAACCCGUUCAAAAUAAUACUUAAAAACUUAAAUAUACAUACUUUUCUAUUGUUUUUAAAGUAUACAAUGAACUUUUUGAAAUGAUUACUAAAUAUACUUAUAUAAUUAUAAUUAUAUAAUGAUUAAAAUAUUAAUAUAUAACUUGAUUGGUAUUAAUAUGAGUAAUAUGGAAUAAAAAAAUGGAAAGAGAUGAAAGAAAAGAAAAAAAAAAACAAAAAGUCAAACUCUUUCUUGUUCUUUUUCUAAUGAAUAACGUUUAGAAAAUCCCGACCACCGCUUCCACCGCGAAUUCACCGUCGUUCUCCGCCGGAGAACCCCCUCCCCCCUCCCUUCCUCCCGACCACCUGAUUCAAACCCCCGUCCUCUCCCCUCAUGACUAUCCACCACAAUUCUUUUCCGCCAAAACUGAUUCUUCAUCCUUUUCCAAAAGUAAGGAAUUGAUGAAAUCCUUUAACCCCCUACUGGACCCCCUACUGGUGUUGUUGCUCAGCAUCCCCCAAAUGUUCCUUCAUGUGCUAGUUCUCCACUAGUACUUGAAAAAACGCAAAUUACUCUCUUGAAGCAUUUAACUACUCUUCCUAGAUCUGAAUCUCAAAAUCCUACCAAAAAAAUCACCUACCCUCUUCUAGUAAAGAUCCUCAAAACCUUAUCCCUUUGAACCCAAAAUCGUCAUCCCCACUUCACACAAACAAAACCUCAUAGCCAAAUAAACUCCACAACCUCCGACACCAUUACUGAAAACUUUCCUCCAGUCAUUCAAGCUCCGACCAUCGCCCCUCCCCCACCCACUCAAAAUCCAUACCAAUCAACUAUUAGUACCCGCUCACUUGUCCAAAGGUUGCGCCGUGCAGAGGACAAAACCCUCCGUCAUCUUGCACCGGUCGCCUUGUCUGAAACCGUGAGACCUCGUAUAGUGACUCUAGAUUAUGUGUUCCAAAAAGGGGUAGAAAUGCACAAAUAUUUUAUUAUCUGCUAUUACAAUAGUAAAGCUCCACCAUUUAAUCAGAUUCAGAGUGUUUUCAACCAUAUGUGGGGUAAAGAAAAUAAUCUUGAAAUCCACAACAAUCUCCUCAACAGAUCAACAAUUGUCCGAAUACCGAAUGCGUACCUCAAAGAGAAAAUUCUGGAUAAGUGCAUUUGGUAUGUAUGCGAUUCGAUGUUUCACACUGCUCAAUGGUCAUCGGAAUACUCAGAGGCUACUCCCCCACCGAGAGCAAUAAAAAUAUGGUCUCAUCUCACCGGUGUUCUCUUGGACCUGAGACAUGAGGAAGGGCUUAGUCUAGUUGCAUGAUUAGUCGAAGAACCAAAGAAGACUGAUUAUUUUACAAAAAACCUCGUAAGCUUAACUCUCUCCCACGUCAAAGUUGAAGUUGAUCUCACUCAGCCCCUUCCAUCAGUUGUAGAAUUUAAGCGUGAAAGUAGAGAGGUAGUAGAAGUGCAAGUCCACUAUCCAUGAACUCCUCCGAUGUGCUCUCACUUCCACGAGCUUGGCCAUAUAGUCAGACAAUGUCUCCACUAUGUUCCUCCCCCUGCCUCCUCAUCCAAAAACUCUACUGAUCACCUACAUAAAAUCAUUGAAAAACCUAAAAAACCUAAAAAACCUUUCCAAGUCCCUUCUGCUAAGCCUCAGACUCCCCUCUACAGAAAGAAAUAUACAAACCCAAGGGGAGGAGCGAGAACGCUUUAAGGAAGGACGAGGAGGGAGUUCCGGAAGAAAGAGGAUUGAAAAUGUUUUGGUGUCAUCUUAAAAACUCAUAUAAAAGAACAAUUUUUGAACCCCUUAAUAUCCAAAGUUUGCCCGGAUUGGAACUUUCCUUCAAACCAUUCUGAGGAUGAGGAUGGACGGAUCAUCUUGAUUUGGAAAACCCUUGCCAUGAUUCAAGUGGUCUGUAAGAGUAGGCAAUCUCUCACCUGCUUGCUCUUUCUCCCAAACCAGCCACCUUUUUACUACACAGCAGUGUAUGCUUCAAAUGAAUCGGAGGAAAAAAUUGAUCUUUGUACAGAGUUAAUAGAGAUUCAAAGCUCCCUAAUUCUUGAUAGCCAUGCGUGGAUGAUUGGAGGAUAUUUUAAUCACAUCCUGUACCCAGUUGAGCAAUCUUUCCCUAUUUUCACCUCUCCUGAUAAUCAGAUAUUCAUCUUCCGUGAAUGUCUGCUCCAGUCGGGGGUGUUUGAUCAGAGAUACAGUGAGCCUAGCCUUACUUGGACUAACAUCCAGCCUGCAAACAACUCCACUGUCUUGUCCUUCCCUCAUGCCCACGCAACCUUCCUCCCUCAGAUAUUCUCAGACCACUGCCCUUGCCUCAUAGACCUAACUGUUACCCUACCCAAAGCUGGUACCCAACCCUUCAAAUUCCUAACCAAACAUCGUGGUUUCUCCACGGUAGUAAAUGACGCAUGGAUUCGCACCAGAAGUGUGGGAACCGAAAUUCGCACUGUCGAUUUCUAUUUAAAUAAGGAAAGUUAGAAAAACCCUAAUUUCCCAGAGGUCCCAGAUAUCUGCUAAACCAGACGCCAAAUAAUCAGAACACGAAAUAAAGACGAGAAAAAUAAGAAAUCGAAAAGAGAGCAAAAUAGAUCUUAUUCUGAAUUCGCGUUUGAGCGUUACAACAAGGUAAGAGCCUGGGAUACGAGAGCUGUCAGCAAGAUUUCUAGUUGUAUAACCCUAAGACUGCAAAACCUAAUUGAAUCGCAGCUCGAAUAGCAAAAACCUAAUUCAGUCGCAGCUCUAAAUGCUAAGUUUGCUCUGAAAAAGUUCUCUCCUUGUGCCCCUUGCCUAGGAAUCUUUAUAUACUCCUCCGAGGUCGGUUUUAGCUUUUCCCUUCCUGCCUUUAAGCCGUCUUAAGUUAAAAAUGGAGAUAUUCCAUUUUUUUCCGAUCUUCAUGUUUAUCUGCGAAAGAUUAACAUUUAUCUGCAGAAAUUUGACAUUUAUAUUUUCUUGCGGACUAAGUAUAAACCGCCAUAAUAUCUUUGGCCUUUUCCUUAAAAAAUCGUAAGUGGAUUUCUAAUCACGUUUGAGACCUAUUAGGGACGUCUUUCGACUCGAAAAGUUUAUCACGAUUUUUAUCGAUAAAAAUAGACUUUCCACGAUUUUUAUCGUAUAUUUUAAGUGAUAACUCCAAUCGAUGGGAGUGAGAAUGAUAUGGCUGCGGUACAGGGGAGCUAGCAUUGAGGAACAGAUGAGAAUGCACGAAUUUGGGUCAUACCCAUUGAUCGAUGUCCGAGACAGUUCGGUCGCUACGUAACGACCUGAUCCGCGCUGGGUCGGUCGCUAUGUGGCGACCUUGUUUGGAUCCUUUUAUGACGUUUUAUGAACGUGUUCUUGGAGUAUGGGUGCUCAGUUUCGAUGAAUCAACAGAGAUUAGUGCAAGAUUUCACCGCAAAGUUCUUCGUAAAGAUUUUUUUACGAGGAUUACUUUUCGUAAAGCGUUCAUGCCGAUUUUUAUGGAAUUUUUGAUGUUAACUUCGUCGUAUCCCUUUUGACCCCAACAAGAAGCAUAUUCUCAACCGUUACGGAGUUAUGUUAGAAGCUAAAAGUCAUUAAUAGAGAUCUAAAAUUACUAAAUCCAGAGAACAGCUCAAAAAUCCACGAGAGAGCGAUUGAAACUUACAAUUUGUUACAAAAUGUGCAGGUUAUAGCUCUUCAUUAUCCUUCCCAGCAGCUGUUCCAACAAGAAAGAAACCUCCAUCAAACUUGGCUUUUCCUGCUAGAGAUAGAGGAAGCAUAUUUCCAUCAAUAUAAAGGAUAAAUAGGUUUCGAGAAGGGGAUUUCAACGCCACCUAUUUCCAUAGGAUGUGCCAAGUGAGAGCAAGCUAUAACGCCAUCAAGUUAUUUUCCACCAGCUCAAAUAUCAUGAUCACCGACCUGUUAGAGAUGAGUUUUCCAGCGGUGGAACACUUCAAAUCUGUACUUGGUCCACAUUGGUAUUCCCCACCUAGCAUCCCCUCGCCUUCCUCCUGGUUUAUGGAUCACCUUGACUUCCAAUGUGAUCCUCAGCAAGCUCAAGCCAUGCUAUCUUUCUCUUCCUCUGAGGAGAUAAGGAAGUUGUUCUUCAAACUCAACACCAACAAAGCCCCGGGGCUAGAUGGGUUGACCUCUGGUUUCAUCAAAAGCGCAUGGGACUUUGUGGGAGAAGAAGCAAUUGCAUCUGUCAAACAUUUCUUCACAUAUGUUUUUCUUCCUGCUACUGCUAACUCGACUAUCUUAUCUCUAGUUCCAAAUUUUCCAGGAGCCUCAAAAGUGUCAGAGUUCCGGCCCAUUGCACGCCUAAAUACUGUCUACAAAGUCAUAUCCCGUAUUCUGGUUGCUAGACUAAAACCCAUCCUACAACAUUUGAUUCUACCGCGCCAAACUGCUUUUGUUAAAGAUCGUCUGCUUGUUGUGAAUACUAUUCUUUUUUUUUUAACACUUUGUGUAAUGUUGAAUAAAAUCUGUAAAGUUCAUACAUAGCCAAUAACCAGCAGGAAGACGUGCAUAUAAAUAAAAAUUGCAGAAAAAUUAAGAUACCAGUAGGCAUCAUGUAACAAGGAGACUCUAGUGAGUCAAAGAGAAGGCCUCAAUAAUAGAAAGUGAGGAUCCUUGAAUGUGUAGCUACAGUGGCAUUCAUUGGGCUUUAGCAGAGUGUACGUACCCCAAACUCAUGGUAUUAUAAAGUCACACACGAUGAGAUGAUAGCCACACACGUCCAUCGCCAAACUAAUAAUCUGAGCACUAGAGAGGCACACAGAUGCAUAAGAAUGACCAAAGUAACACAAAUAGGUUGACAUAGAACAGCGAAUAAGCUUGAACUGCACACUCAAACUGGAAAGAGGCUAGCAACAGAGAAACAACCCAAGAAGAAGCUUGACCUAUCAAGAGGAGCCAGAGCGGAACCAGAACAACACAAACACGACCAUCAAACAGUCCUACCUCGCAAACGAAAGUAGAGGAGAGGCCCUAGAUGAUGAACUGAAUAAGAGCACAACCUGGA
Long non-coding RNA from Brassica rapa (field mustard), 5113 nucleotides. RefSeq lists it as uncharacterized. The record is from RefSeq and is a predicted model, not a curated record. NCBI's taxonomy places the organism in Eukaryota, Viridiplantae, Streptophyta, Magnoliopsida, Brassicales, Brassicaceae.